ACAAGUGGAGUCUUAAGUUCAAAUUUUCGAGAUGAUAAUACAGGUCAUAACACAUAUUAUAAAAAUACAUCAUGAAUUUUAAUUAUUAUUUUAGUAAGAUAGGAUAUUUGAUAAUAAAUUAAGACUGAUGAUACAAAAUUAUACAAAACAUAAUCAUGAAAAAAAAUCAAAUUAUUUUUUUGACAUACAAUGUAAUAUCCACUACCAC
RNAcentral lists this long non-coding RNA (208 nucleotides) under Setaria viridis. RNAcentral's name for it is "long non-coding RNA (SVIR_LNC001324)". The record is from RNAcentral. Lineage: Eukaryota; Viridiplantae; Streptophyta; Magnoliopsida; Poales; Poaceae.